UACGUAGGGGGCAAGCGUUGUCCGGAAUCAUUGGGCGUAAAGAGCGUGUAGGCGGUCCAGUAAGUCCGCUGUGAAAGUCAAGGGCUCAACCCUUGAAUGCCGGUGGAUACUGCUGGACUAGAGUCCGGAAGAGGCGAGUGGAAUUCCUGGUGUAGCGGUGAAAUGCGCAGAUAUCAGGAGGAACACCGAUGGCGAAGGCAGCUCGCUGGGACGGUACUGACGCUGAGACGCGAAAGCGUGGGGAGCAAACAGG
Molecule: ribosomal RNA, 253 nt
Filed under: uncultured bacterium
Lineage: Bacteria
Description: partial 16S ribosomal RNA
Rfam family: Bacterial small subunit ribosomal RNA
Source: RNAcentral